AGUGAACGCUGGCGGUAGGCCUAACACAUGCAAGUCGAACGGCAGCACAGGAGAGCUUGCUCUCUGGGUGGCGAGUGGCGGACGGGUGAGGAAUACAUCGGAAUCUACUCUGUCGUGGGGGAUAACGUAGGGAAACUUACGCUAAUACCGCAUACGACCUACGGGUGAAAGCAGGGGACCUUCGGGCCUUGCGCGAUUGAAUGAGCCGAUGUCGGAUUAGCUAGUUGGCGGGGUAAAGGCCCACCAAGGCGACGAUCCGUAGCUGGGCUGAGGGGAUGAUCAGCCACACUGGAACUGAGACACGGUCCAGAAUCCUACGGGAGGCAGCAGUGGGGAAUAUUGGACAAUGGGCGCAAGCCUGAUCCAGCCAUACCGCGUGGGUGAAGAAGGCCUUCGGGUUGUAAAGCCCUUUUGUUGGGAAAGAAAUCCAGCUGGCUAAUACCCGGUUGGGAUGACGGUACCCAAAGAAUAAGCACCGGCUAACUUCGUGCCAGCCGCCGCAGUAA
Molecule: ribosomal RNA, 506 nt
Filed under: uncultured bacterium
Lineage: Bacteria
Description: partial 16S ribosomal RNA
Rfam family: Bacterial small subunit ribosomal RNA
Source: RNAcentral